CCUACGGGUGGCAGCAGUGAGGAAUAUUGGUCAAUGGACGAGAGUCUGAACCAGCCUAGUAGCGUGAAGGAUGACUGCCCUAUGGGUUGUAAACUUCUUUUAUAUGGGAAUAAAAUGUUCCACGUGUGGGAUUUUGUAUGUACCAUAUGAAAAAGGAUCGGCUAACUCAGUGCCAGCAGCCGCGGUAAUACGGAGGAUCCGAGCGUUAUCCGGAUUUAUUGGGUUUAAAGGGAGCGUAGGUGGAUUGUUAAGUCAGUUGUGAAAGUUUGCGGCUCAACCGUAAAAUUGCAGUUGAAACUGGCAGUCUUGAGUACAGUAGAGGUGGGCGGAAUUCGUGGUGUAGCGGUGAAAUGCUUAGAUAUCACGAAGAACUCCGAUUGCGAAGGCAGUUCACUGGACUGCAACUGACACUGAGGCUCGAAAGUGUGGGUAUCAAACAGGAUUAGAUACCCCGGUAGUC
This 460-nucleotide ribosomal RNA is filed under the name uncultured bacterium. RNAcentral describes it as "partial 16S ribosomal RNA". It matches the Rfam family "Bacterial small subunit ribosomal RNA", at positions 338 to 795 of the family's 1533-position model. The record is from RNAcentral.